GCGCAGCAGUCGCGAAAACUUCACACUGUGCGAAAGCACGAUGAGGGAAUCCCAAGUGCUUGCACGUAAGUGUAAGCUGUUUCUCUGUCUAAAACGCAGAGAGAGUAAGGGCUGGGUAAGACGGGUGCCAGCCGCCGCGGUAAUACCUGCAGCUCAAGUGGUGACCGUUAUUAUUGGGCCUAAAACGUCCGUAGCCGGUUUAAUAAAUGCCUGGGUAAAUUGUGUAGCUUAACUAUACGAAUUCCGGGUAGACUGUUAAACUUGAGACCGGGAGAAGUUAGAGGUACUCCUGGGGUAGAGGUGAAAAUUCUGUAAUCCUAGGGGGACCACCAGUGGCGAAGGCGUCUAACUAGAACGGGUCUGACGGUGAGGGACGAAGCCCUGGGGCGCAAACGGGAUUAGAUACCCCGUAGU
RNAcentral lists this ribosomal RNA (414 nucleotides) under uncultured microorganism. RNAcentral describes it as "bacterial SSU rRNA". It matches the Rfam family "Archaeal small subunit ribosomal RNA", at positions 330 to 745 of the family's 1478-position model. The record is from RNAcentral.